GAAUUCACACUAGGAGAAGAAUUCGAUGAAAUUCUUAUCUAUAGAUGAGAUGACAAACGACAACAUCUACUGAAUUUUCGAAUAAGUGUCCAAUCAUGAAGGAUGGGUGUAUGUUGCGGAGCUGCUCCUGGAGGAGAUCUUGCAUUGCUGAGUCGCAGUUCAAUGCAGUUGGUCAGGAAAGGAAAGAGUUGUCCAUUGAAAGAGAGGAUGCGCAGAAAUUCUCCCUUAUAGCUCCAUUCCAAUUUUCCAAAUAUCUGAAGAGACUAGGAAGGAUGUGGAAGAAGAAAAGUGGCCCCUGCAACAUUUUUUUUUAUAAAAUUUUUUUUUCUUUUUUCUUAUUUUUUUAUAAUAUUUUUUGUUUGAGCUCCCGGCCUCACGCAGAAGUGCGAGCAAGAAAGAGGGAUCCUCGGGCGAGCUGGCCCUGAAGCGCUCGAGAGUGGCAAUGACGUUACUGCCCCGACGUGGGAUGAUUCGCCGAUCGUGAGCGGUAUUCAUAUUUCGAAAACAUUUAAAAUCUAAUUUUAAAUUCUCUGUAAAAAAUCGUAUCCAAAAUAUAGACGCUCAUAAGUUUUGGUGUUCUAGAGUCUUAACAAAGAAAAAGAUUCCUUUACCGGUAUUUCUUUGGCUGAUUCCUUUGGUAGACAAUCAAAUUGUGCCCAUUUGCAGAGUAAACAUUUUUUCAAAGUUGACGAUGCUGUUUGUGCGCUACAUUUCCAACAAAAG
Leptopilina boulardi is the source of this 723-nucleotide RNA transcript. RefSeq lists it as uncharacterized. Lineage: Eukaryota; Metazoa; Arthropoda; Insecta; Hymenoptera; Figitidae. The transcript is spliced from 7 exons. The record is from RefSeq and is a predicted model, not a curated record.